This 253-nucleotide ribosomal RNA is filed under the name uncultured prokaryote. RNAcentral's name for it is "partial 16S ribosomal RNA". It matches the Rfam family "Bacterial small subunit ribosomal RNA", at positions 524 to 776 of the family's 1533-position model. The record is from RNAcentral.
UACAGAGGGUGCGAGCGUUAAUCGGAUUUACUGGGCGUAAAGGGCGCGUAGGCGGUUAUGAGAGUGUGAUGUGAAAGCCCUGGGCUUAACCUAGGAAGUGCAUCGCAAACGCCAUAACUGGAGUAUUGGAGAGGGUAGCGGAAUUUCCGGUGUAGCGGUGAAAUGCGUAGAGAUCGGAAGGAACGUCAAUGGCGAAGGCAGCUACCUGGCCAAAUACUGACGCUGAGGCGCGAAAGCGUGGGGAGCAAACAGG